RNAcentral lists this ribosomal RNA (254 nucleotides) under uncultured bacterium. RNAcentral describes it as "partial 16S ribosomal RNA". It matches the Rfam family "Bacterial small subunit ribosomal RNA", at positions 524 to 776 of the family's 1533-position model. The record is from RNAcentral.
UACAGAGGGUGCGAGCGUUGUUCGGAAUUACUGGGCGUAAAGCGCGCGCAGGCGGCCCUUUAAGUCUGACGGUGAAAUGCCGGGGCUCAACCCCGUGCCCGCCGCGGAUACUGGAGGGCUGGAGACACGUAGAGGCAAGCGGAAUUCCGGGUGUAGCGGUGGAAUGCGUAGAGAUCCGGAAGAACACCGGUGGCGAAGGCGGCCCACUGGAUCGGUACUGACGCUGAGGUGCGAAAGCGUGGGGAGCAAACAGG